UACGAACUGUGCAACCGUUAUUCGGAAUCACUGGGCUUAAAGGGUGCGUAGGCGGCUAUCUAAGCAGGGUGUGAAAGCCCCCGGCUCAACCGGGGAAUAGCGUUCUGAACUGGAUGGCUGGAGUGAGAUAGGGGUGUGUGGAACUUCCGGUGGAGCGGUGAAAUGUGUUGAUAUCGGAAGGAACGCCGGUGGCGAAAGCGACACACUGGGUCUCAACUGACGCUGAGGCACGAAAGCCAGGGGAGCGAACGGG
This 253-nucleotide ribosomal RNA is filed under the name uncultured bacterium. RNAcentral describes it as "partial 16S ribosomal RNA". It matches the Rfam family "Bacterial small subunit ribosomal RNA", at positions 524 to 776 of the family's 1533-position model. The record is from RNAcentral.